GACGAACGCUGGCGGCGCGCCUAACACAUGCAAGUCGAACGGGGAAGUUAGCAAUAACUUCUUAGUGGCGAACGGGUGAGUAACGCGUGGACAACCAACCUUUUAGUGGGGGACAACACUUCGAAAGGAGUGCUAAUACCGCAUAAUCUCUUUUGGCUGCAUGGUUGAAAGAGGAAAGGGGCAACUGCUCCGCUAAAAGACGGGUCCGCGUCUGAUUAGCUAGUUGGAGGGGUAACGGCCCACCAAGGCGACGAUCAGUAGCCGGUCUGAGAGGAUGAACGGCCACACUGGGACUGAGACACGGCCCAGACUCCUACGGGAGGCAGCAGUGGGGAAUCUUCCGCAAUGGACGAAAGUCUGACGGAGCGACGCCGCGUGAGUGAUGAAGGCC
This 391-nucleotide ribosomal RNA is filed under the name uncultured bacterium. RNAcentral describes it as "bacterial SSU rRNA". It matches the Rfam family "Bacterial small subunit ribosomal RNA", at positions 28 to 416 of the family's 1533-position model. The record is from RNAcentral.